GCUCUGUGCAGCUGUUUCUCUCUCUAUCGGUGCUGUUUCAUGCUCUGUUUUGCUUGUGAAAAUAGAGCCUGGUAAUUGUACUUAAAGAUCUGGCUGUUUUCUCACUACAGACAAAACUUUGCUCCCCAAAACUUUUCUUAAGCUUAUCAGAAUAUUAAGCAUGUGCUUAAGAAAGACUGGUUGUCACCAUGGUUUUAGGACUAGUCAUUAGAAACACCGAGGUCUCUGAAGUCAGCUGUUGUCCCCAGUGAUGGGGACAGUCAACAUCUGUGACACCUCCUCCCAAGAGGCUGAGCAGCAGUUUGCAAGAGGAGGCCCAGUGCUGACUGCAUUUAUUGUGUACAAAAUGGUGCUCUCGAGGGUGCUGCACUGACACUGCCUUUCCAGCUGCAGUGGAACAGAACAGCUUCUAGUGGGAGCUUUUAGCCAAAACAAACCCAUUGUUAUGGGCUAGGGAAACCACAAUGCAGCUUGUGUCCUCUGGCUUAAUUUUUGGGGAAGCUGCUCUUUCAGGUGUCUUUGUGCAAAAUGUAAUAACAGCAACAUUUAGAAAACUUCUGCUUAACUGCCUUCUUAUCCUCUGGACAACUCUAUGGUCCAACAGAAGAGCUCCCCUCCAGGCUACUUGCAGUUCACUGCCUGAAUACAUGAUAAAACCAGAAUUUACUGGACCUGCAAGCACAAAGAAGGGUAGAGGGGAUGAACUAAUUGUCUCGACGUUUAGAGCACUUGCUUGAGAACAGUGUAGAAAGUCUUGCUCCUGGGUACCUGAUCUGUUCCAAAGUGAGGCUUUCCUAGUGGUCCCUGCCUGCUCUGUAGACAACAUUUGAACACUCAUUGACUUGGGCAGAGAGUGACUCAUCCUGUGAGAUGCUUCCUCAAAUGUGGAAUGUCUCCUCAAGUAUUUUCUACUGCUCAGUUUGUGCAGCACUCCCCUCCUGUCACUGUGGAGGUUUCAUGAUUAGGUCCCAGAUCCUGGGCAUGCCUUUACCAGAGAGCUUAAGCACCUGUCUCAAGGUUGUGAAUUCCAGUUAAAUGGAGACAUCCAAGGUUUAGCUGUCAACUGUUGCUGCACUGCUUAAGUUGCUCAUCUACAUGUAACUCCAGCAGAGCAUCAGGGAGUUCAGGAUCCUAACUACAAUCAUUCAGGGUUCUCCCAUGGUUCUUCCAGCUACCUAACAGGGCUCAAAUUCUUCCUAGGUCCCACCAGGAUAUGUGCUCUAAAAAGAUAAGAACAUUCCCUUGAAAUUAUCAUUCCUUUGGUUAUAACUGUAACCUUUUAACCGAAGGCAGGCAAGAAGACUUUUUUCUCAAUUUAUAAAGCCCAGUUUAUUCUGGCAAUGACCAGAGAUCUUGUAUCUCAUUUUGUUUAUUCGCAUUUUAAAAUUUCUUAGCAAGGUCUUCACAGUGGGAUUGCAAAUCUGUGUACAAAUCCUAAAGCUACAGUAGGGAGGAGCCCAUACUGGUACAGAUGUAGAGUUUUCUUGUAGCUUCCUUGAUGUAAAUGUGUAAGAUCUUAGCUUUGGAGGGGAGGGGAGGGGAGUUUACAGGUAUUCUGUGACUAGAUCACAGUACUUCCAAACUUCCAAACCUUUUCAGUAAUGUAAUAACCAACUUCAUAUCAUGUUACAGAUUAUAGCACAUGAUACCGUGGUUAAUACCAGAGUCAACAACUACUUGUAAUUACAAAGAUAUGAGAGGGGAGAAUCUGAAGUGUGGGAUGUCACUCUGUGUGCCCUUGUUUUUAAAAAAAGUACCGUCUAAUGGUGCUGCUGGGGAGGAGAAGUUUGGAGGUAACUGGGCUAGUGACCUGACCUCCUGCCAGAGGCUCACCAGAUCUGUGUUACAUCCCAGCCUUGGCUCUGGCUUAAGGUGUGACUGUGUGCCUGUUUCAUCUAUGCCAUACCUGGCUAUUUUUGUAUGAGAAAAGCUUUGCUAGUGCUCUCUCCAAGUAGGCACAUGAUUUGUGUAGAUAGAAAUCAUAAUAAAUGCAAGUUAUUUGUGCAUGGUGAAGUAGCUAAAAUAAAAUCUCUAUUAACCAGAGCUCUCUAGUGGCCAACAGUACUUCUGGGGAUUCCUACUCGUAAAUAACUGGAAAACCAAACCAAACAAAAAUAACCUAAAUUUUGUGAUGACAGAUUACUCUUACUUAGAUACCCCAGAGUGCUUCUUGCACUGGAUAUGUGUAAGCUGUGGAUUUACUGUGAGACUAAUUAGCUGUGCCUUUGGCCAGCCAAGAGCAUGUGUGUGUGUGCACAGCCAUGCACGGGGAUUUGAGAGCGUGCCCUGAAAUGUGGGAACAUGAAGGGAACUUUCUUUCAUUCACUCCUUCACUCCCAGGCAGGAAGUCAGGCUUUUAGAUUGUUGUGUAUUUCUGCAAUAACUCAGUAGUAGUAAUGGGCUAAAUCAAUCUGAUACCUCUGUGUUUCUUACAGCACCCAAUAAAUAUUUCCACCUAACUCUCUUCUGAUUUCAUUUUUUUUUUCUGAAAGCUGCAGAACAUGAGAAGAAAGAACUCAUAUUUUCAGUGACCUCUAAGAAUCUCUAAUAUUUUGGGAAGGUUCUGCUUGAAACAAUGAUUGAUAUUAGAGAUAAUGCAUGUUUGAUUUGCCCUAGGAGCAGGAAAUCCUUUUUAAAGCCCAGUUCCUUGAGGAUAUCUGGCUUAAAGUGCAUGAAUCGCUGCUUCUGAGAAAAUGCACUGUGUGCAGAAUCCUUUGUCAUGGGAGAAACACAGGAAGCACAAUACUGCAACAUCUGCAACUGCUCUGCCCUGCUGGGAUUGAACUCUCAUUUUCUACAUAAUAACGGAGAUGAAUAUCCCGUAAAGAUGCAAAUGUAGGACAGGUCUUCACAGAAAACAGUUUUCAAGUACAAUGAUGGGAUACAGAUCAGAACUUGGACCAUAAACAAGAUCUCACAGCCUCUACAACAAAACUCUGCAUCUGAAAGUGAAGAGGGAAUUAAUUCUGUAUGGAUGAUGAAAGAAGAGAACAGGAGCAGAGGAGAUGGUUAUAGAAAAAAUAAGAGACAGCAACAACAUCUCUGUAUACCAAAUACAAAUUCUCAAGAGAAGGAUGGAAAUAACAGAGAGAAGCUGUGGCCUCCCUUCCCUGAUUACCAGAACUGAGGAGAAUCAUACAGAAACAGCUGUGUAAUCUUCU
Molecule: long non-coding RNA, 3161 nt
Organism: Pseudopipra pipra
Lineage: Eukaryota; Metazoa; Chordata; Aves; Passeriformes; Pipridae
Exons: 4
Source: RefSeq, a predicted model, not a curated record